Molecule: long non-coding RNA, 1213 nt
Filed under: Pan troglodytes (chimpanzee)
Lineage: Eukaryota; Metazoa; Chordata; Mammalia; Primates; Hominidae
Description: long non-coding RNA NONPTRT012677
Source: RNAcentral
GCAGUUCUGUGUCGCUAGGCUUCGGCCGGGCAGCCGCCCCACAUAAGCUGCGAGGAGGAGCUUUACGACUUCCCGGUCUUCGGGGCCGGGCGCAGCAAGGGCCAGACUCUGCGCUAGCAGGCGCUGCCCGCCAACCGGCCGGCACCUGUCGCAGAAGGUGCAACCGAUCGCACUGUCGCGCAGAAGCUCCUCAAUGGCCAGCGCCAGCUGCAGCCCCGGCCGCCCACUCGCCUCACCUGAGCCUGGGAGUUUGAAAAAUCACAUUUGAGAAGAGGAUUGGAUCCUAGCCAUAACAUAAAUAUAAGGGUGGAACCAAAGUUUUAAUCAAAGAAGGUGAUGUUCAGUUGCUGCUUACGAUAGUUGAUACCCCAGGAUUUGGAGAUGCAGUGGAUAAUAGUAAUUGCUGGCAGCCUGUUAUCAAUUACAUUGAUAGUAAAUUUGAGGACUACCUAAAUGCAGAAUCACGAGUGAACAGAUGUCAGAUGCCUGGUAACAGGGUGCAGUGUUGUUUAUACUUCAUUGCUCCUUCAGGACAUGGACCAUUACAUAACUGAAGACUCCCACCUUCAGGCAGGAUUGGGUAGUACGUGUUUGUAACUACCUGGCAUUGCCUUUUGUUGAGGUUAGAUCUUGGGACAGCCCACAUACCUAGACAAACUUAGGCUUUCCAGCUUGCACUGGACCAGGGUGGAAAGGAAGGGUAGAUGUCUACCCAAAUGGAAUAUUGAGUAUCAGAGACUUCAAAUGAUAACUUUUGUUUGUUUGGAGAAAAUCUUGAGGACGUGAUCACUGUACAAAAGCAUGGCAAAAUGAGGAAACCACUGACAGGUGAAGAAUUUGCACAAUGGAAAACCACCUUGACCAUCUCAUGACUUUAUACAGGAAUCGGAGUAUCAGAAGCUAAGUCUCUUCUCUAGCACCUCCUUCAGGGACCGUGAGCUCCUUGGGGUCACUGCUCUGUCUCCACAGCAGAGCACGGUACCUAACAUGUGGCAGGACUCAAUAAAAGACAUCCAAGGCCAUUCCAUUUCUAGAUCACACUUAUCCCUCAAUCAAGUCAGUGACUGGAUCAUCUCCUAAGGUUUCACCUGCUUUGCAUCAGUGAGUUGGACUAUGGAUCAGGUACUGUGCUCAGCAUCAGAAAAUGGGAUGACAAUGAACAGAGUAACACGACUAUAUUUCUGAAAAAGGAUGAACUUACUGGAAACAGGAU